Molecule: ribosomal RNA, 1346 nt
Filed under: uncultured bacterium
Lineage: Bacteria
Description: partial 16S ribosomal RNA
Rfam family: Bacterial small subunit ribosomal RNA
Source: RNAcentral
GACGAACGCUGGCGGCGUGCUUAACACAUGCAAGUCGAACGGAAAGGCCCUGCUUUUGUGGGGUGCUCGAGUGGCGAACGGGUGAGUAACACGUGAGUAACCUGCCCUUGACUUUGGGAUAACUUCAGGAAACUGGGGCUAAUACCGGAUAGGAGCUCCUGCUGCAUGGUGGGGGUUGGAAAGUUUCGGCGGUUGGGGAUGGACUCGCGGCUUAUCAGCUUGUUGGUGGGGUAGUGGCUUACCAAGGCUUUGACGGGUAGCCGGCCUGAGAGGGUGACCGGCCACAUUGGGACUGAGAUACGGCCCAGACUCCUACGGGAGGCAGCAGUGGGGAAUAUUGCACAAUGGGCGGAAGCCUGAUGCAGCAACGCCGCGUGCGGGAUGACGGCCUUCGGGUUGUAAACCGCUUUCGCCUGUGACGAAGCGUGAGUGACGGUAAUGGGUAAAGAAGCACCGGCUAACUACGUGCCAGCAGCCGCGGUGAUACGUAAGGUGCGAGCGUUGUCCGGAUUUAUUGGGCGUAAAGGGCUCGUAGGUGGUUGAUCGCGUCGGAAGUGUAAUCUUGGGGCUUAACCCUGAGCGUGCUUUCGAUACGGGUUGACUUGAAGAAAGUAGGGGAGAAAGGGAUUCCUGGUGGAGCGGUGGAAUGCGCAGAUAUCAGGAGGAACACCAGUGGCGAGGGCGUUUCUCUGGGCCUUUCCUGACGCUGAGGAGCGAAAGCGUGGGGAGCGAACAGGCUUAGAUACCCUGGUAGUCCACGCUGUAAACGGUGGGUACUAGGUGUGGGGUCCAUUCCACGGGUUCCGUGCCGUAGCUAACGCUUUAAGUACCCCGCCUGGGGAGUACGGCCGCAAGGCUAAAACUCAAAGGAAUUGACGGGGCCCCGCACAAGCGGCGGAGCAUGCGGAUUAAUUCGAUGCAACGCGUAGAACCUUACCUGGGUUUGACAUGGAUCGGGAGUGCUCAGAGAUGGGUGUGCCUCUUUUGGGGUCGGUUCACAGGUGGUGCAUGGCUGUCGUCAGCUCGUGUCGUGAGAUGUUGGGUUAAGUCCCGCAACGAGCGCAACCCUUGUUCACUGUUGCCAGCACGUUAUGGUGGGGACUCAGUGGAGACCGCCGGGGUCAACUCGGAGGAAGGUGGGGAUGACGUCAAGUCAUCAUGCCCCUUAUGUCCAGGGCUUCACGCAUGCUACAAUGGCUGGUACAGAGAGUGGCGAGCCUGUGAGGGUGAGCGAAUCUCGGAAAGCCGGUCUCAGUUCGGAUUGGGGUCUGCAACUCGACCUCAUGAAGUCGGAGUCGCUAGUAAUCGCAGAUCAGCAACGCUGCGGUGAAUACGUUCCCGGGGCU